Molecule: long non-coding RNA, 834 nt
Filed under: Musa acuminata (dwarf banana)
Lineage: Eukaryota; Viridiplantae; Streptophyta; Magnoliopsida; Zingiberales; Musaceae
Description: long non-coding RNA (MACU_LNC000016)
Source: RNAcentral
GGAGUUCGUCGACACCAAUUCUUGGCUCCCUCCUCUCCUCUUCCUCUUCCCUUCACUUCUCCGAGAGCCCCAACAACUUCCACCCCCACAACUCUCCCAACCCCAACCUUCACACCUUAUCCUGCCACUUCUCCCCUGCCUCAGAUGGCCUUCACGACCAGAGCCCGUCCCUCGGCAUCCGGAGAAGCCGCUCCGACGGCAAUCUCCACUCCUUCCUCUCCGACCAGUCUGACGACCCCAACCAUCACAACCACCUCCUCCCCCCGUCCCUGAAGUGCUCCUCCGCUCGACGCGCCCAUCCAGCUCUCGAGAGCAUUCCUUCAUUCUCCUCGCGCAAUCCAAACACUCUGCUAGAAGAGGAGGAGGAGGAGGAAGAUGACCAAGAGAAUGACGAGCAGGGCGCGGCUGGAGGAUUUGGCUUCGCGAGCGACGAUCGAAAAGGUGGGUUGAAAUAUCCGAAUCCCGACGCCGAAAGCCCCGCGCCACCACCUUUGUUCCUCGCUAGGGGUCUCGGGAUCGACCGGGUCGGAUCCGGGUUACUGACUGCGGGCUGUGGUGAUGGUGGCAUCGGCGGCGGCCGCAGUGGUAAGUGGGAUGUUUUGACGGGCAACGGCGGAGAGCAGUCGGAUGUGGAGACGUACUACAAGAAGAUGGUGGAGGAGAACCCCAGCAAUGCUCUGUUCCUGAGGAAUUAUGCGCAGUAUCUCUACCAGGUAUCGUUGCUGCUGCUUCGCAUCGGCUUUGUAUGAAAGAGAAGCAUUCUUUGCCUCGAAUGAUUUCACCGUAUCUGAAUUAUCCGUCGAUUGCUAUACUAAAUUCUUUCGUAUUGUAGGC